This 391-nucleotide long non-coding RNA is filed under the name Equus asinus (donkey). RNAcentral's name for it is "lncRNA (ENSEASG00005033072.1)". Lineage: Eukaryota; Metazoa; Chordata; Mammalia; Perissodactyla; Equidae. The record is from RNAcentral.
GAACAGCUGAGGUAGCGUUCAGUUUCAGCCCCAGUGCCAUUAUGAUGGAUGUUUACAUCUCUUCAUUGAGAGCCAAUUAUCUCGCUUUUGUGUGAGGCCCCAGGAUCACUCAUGCUGCCAGGCUGCACACAGCACUGUUGGAUCUAGCUGAACGAAUUGUUUUCCCUGUCUCUGAAAUAUAAUGAAGCAGUUGCUGUUGGAAUCCCAUGGCUUCACGGAGCUCAUGUCCUACUUGGAGAGAGAGGGAUAAGAGCUUUAAGUCAAUGAAGAAAGUUAAAGAACUAAGUCUUACAGGAUGAUUCCUGAGUACAAGAUGGUUUUGAAAUUCCAAGAGUGAACGUUUGGAUCAUAUUCAAGAUACACAAUAUAAAUUCAUUUUUUGGAUUGACGG